RNAcentral lists this unclassified non-coding RNA (353 nucleotides) under soil metagenome. RNAcentral's name for it is "partial contains 5.8S ribosomal RNA, internal transcribed spacer 2, and large subunit ribosomal RNA". The stretch from base 1 to 120 matches the Rfam family "5.8S ribosomal RNA", at positions 35 to 154 of the family's 154-position model. The record is from RNAcentral.
GAUGAAGAACGCAGCGAAAUGCGAUAAGUAAUGUGAAUUGGAGAAUUCAGUGAAUCAUCGAAUCUUUGAACGCACAUUGCGCCCGCCAGUAUUCUGGCGGGCAUGCCUGUUCGAGCGUCAUUACAACCCUCAGGCCCCCGGGCCUGGCGUUGGGGAUCGGCGGAAGCCCCCUGCGGGCACAACGCCGUCCCCCAAAUACAGUGGCGGUCCCGCCGCAGCUUCCAUUGCGUAGUAGCUAACACCUCGCAACUGGAGAGCGGCGCGGCCACGCCGUAAAACACCCAACUUCUGAAUGUUGACCUCGAAUCAGGUAGGAAUACCCGCUGAACUUAAGCAUAUCAAUAAGCGGAGGA